UCCGAGUUGACCCCGGCAGUCUCCUAUGAGUCCCCGGCAUUAUCCGCUGGCAACAUAGGACGAGGGUUGCGCUCGUUGCGGGACUUAACCCAACAUCUCACGACACGAGCUGACGACAGCCAUGCAGCACCUGUACUUGUUGUACCCCUUGCGGGGCCUACCCGACUUUCAUCGGGAUAAUCCAAGCAUGUCAAGCCCAGGUAAGGUUCCGCGCGUUGCUUCGAAUUGAACCACAUGCUCCACCGCUUGUGUGAGCCCCCGUCAAUUCCUUUGAGUUUUAGCCUUGCGACCGUACUUCCCAGGCGGUCGACUUAGCACUUUUGCUUCGACCGUGACCGCGUCAGAGCGGCCACGAUCUAGUCGACAUCGUUUACGGCCAGGACUA
Molecule: unclassified non-coding RNA, 385 nt
Filed under: uncultured Tepidisphaerales bacterium
Lineage: Bacteria; Pseudomonadati; Planctomycetota; Phycisphaerae; Tepidisphaerales
Description: contains 16S-23S intergenic spacer region
Source: RNAcentral